Non-coding RNA from Myotis lucifugus (little brown bat), 84 nucleotides. NCBI's taxonomy places the organism in Eukaryota, Metazoa, Chordata, Mammalia, Chiroptera, Vespertilionidae. The record is from Rfam.
CAGUGCAGUCACCCAUAAAGUAGAAAGCACUACUAACAGCACUGGAGGGUGUAGUGUUUCCUACUUUAUGGAUGAGUGUACUGU